CCUACGGGAGGCAGCAGUGGGGAAUAUUGCACAAUGGGGGAAACCCUGAUGCAGCGACGCCGCGUGAGUGAAGAAGUAUUUCGGUAUGUAAAGCUCUGUCAGCAGGGAAGAAAAUGACGGUACCUGACCAAUAAGCCCUGGCUAACUACGUGCCAGCAGCCGCGGUAAUACGUAGGGGGCAAGCGUUAUCCGGAUUUACUGGGUGUAAAGUGAGCGUAGACGGGAGGGCGAGUCUGGAGUGAAAGGCGGGGGCUCAACCCCCGGACUGCUCUGGAAACUGGCAGGCUGGAGUGCAGGAGAGGUGAGUGGAAUUCCUGGUGUAGCGGUGAAAUGCGUAGAUAUUAGGAGGAACACCAGUGGCGAAAGCGGCUUACUGGACUGUAACUGACGUUGAGGCUCGAAAGCGUGGGGAGCAAACAGGAUUAGAUACCCCGGUAGUC
RNAcentral lists this ribosomal RNA (440 nucleotides) under uncultured bacterium. Its description in RNAcentral is "partial 16S ribosomal RNA". It matches the Rfam family "Bacterial small subunit ribosomal RNA", at positions 338 to 795 of the family's 1533-position model. The record is from RNAcentral.